ACACAAUCACACAAGUAACAGACCCAUCCUUUCCACUCACAAUUCCACUCAUUUUAACACAUACCCUCACAUACGGAGAAACACACACGGAGGGAGAUAAUCCCGAUAAUCCUCCACUUUGAUUGACAAGAAAAUACAUACACACAAAAAUAAUGAGAAACGAGAUAGAGGAAAGAGAGAUAAACGGAGGGAGAUAGAAAAACCGGCAAGGGAAAAAUAGAGAGAAGGGAGGGACGUGACAGAGAGAGGAGGGAUCGAGAGAGAAGUAAAAAAAGGGAGGGAGUGCACGGAGAGAGAGAAGCAGACAAAUUUGAUGGUUGUCGGUAAGUUUCUCGUCGGAAAUCUGCUGGAUUCACCACCGGUAAACACUGCCGUCACCGUCCAUUGUUGUUCCGGCAAGACCCACCGGCAGACGGUCCCGUUUCCUUCCCAAAAUGUAUCCGGAUUCGGGUUGGUGAUUGUAUUUUGCUUGAAUUUCGGGUAUCAUUGUCUCGUGAUUCAUUUUUUCUUCGUGGGUUUGCGUUCAAAUCUGUUUGGGUGGCAUCUUUUUAGAUAUCGAGUUGGUCUAAUUCGUUGUUUGAGGUUCUUCAUUCGAGGAUUUUGAGUUCAGAUUUUAUUAUCGCACUAUUAUCAAUGAAAUCCGUUCUUGUGAGGUCCAAUUCUCAACUCUCCUCGUUUUUUACUAUCUCAACGUGGUUGAUGAUGUGAUUAGUGGUGUGUUUGAAGUGUAUUUGAGCUUUUAUAAUUAUUAUGACUUGAUUGAUCGAUUUCAUCUCGAAAUUAGUUAAUCAUUGAUUAAGAAUGGAAAUUGGGGAGGGAUUGAUCAUGAAAACAUGAAUGUGGAUAUAUUUGAUUUAUUUUUGAUAGUUUGGAUCGCAAUGAGUGUUGAUGUUUGUCGAACCCGAUAGUAUCAUGUUUUAGGACGAAAUAAAUAGGCAAAUCUUAGUUGGGUAGGCAGACGGUAGGAAUCAUAUUGUUGGGUGAUUGAAUGUUUGUUGAAUAAUUUUGUUGCACAGAGUUGAAAUUAUAUUCAUUUUCACUGGGGAAUACCUCGAUGAAAUUGUAUUUAUUUACCGGGGGAAUGUCCCAAGGUAUUAUGUACGCGAAGGAUGUUCGUGAUCAAAACCUGGAACACCGGGUAGAGCUUAGUCUAGGACUAAUUUAGAAUAGAAUUUACAUUUUUUGCAUUUUUCUAUUUUUUGGGUUGUAUAAUUUGAACUGUACAUUAUGUUGUUUUGAAUUUCUGUUUGGUUUUGUUUGUUUAUUUGUUUUGUCGGUUUAUACACUUCAUAAGGUCGUACUAGCCGAUAUAUUUAACGAAGCGAUCGUGGUCAAACCACGGGAUCAAGGAGUGCCUAACACCUUCUCCUUGAUCAAUAAAAUUCCUUAACUAGAAUCUCAAUUCAUGGACCAGUUCUGAGAGUCGAGUCAUUUUGAAAAAGGAUUUUUCAAAGGUAACUUGGCACACUCAAUUUAUGCCAAGUGGUGAAUCUGAGUCUAAUUGUAAAAAGUUCUUUUCGAAAUAAAAUUUUCAUCUUUUGUCACUUAAUAAUAAAAAUUCUUUCAAACUUAAAAUUAAUCUUUUUGAAAAAAAAAGGGUGUGACAGUUUGGCGACUCAGGUCAAUUUGCAUUGACUUGACCCAGAAUCUCUUCUCAAACUCGACGCAACCAGUUUCAGAUAUUAUCGAUUUGGCCUCCGAUUGUAUUGGCUUAGUUUAGCCCUAUAGGUGUAUAAACAUUUUGUGUGUAUUGUCCUAUGUUUUAUUAUUUUAUCAUUGGUGUGCACUUACAUGUUACGUAUUUACGGUAUUUUUUUUAUGUGUUACCAUUUCAUAUCUGGCAUCAUAUGCAUUACCCCGAGUCAAUUCUUUCGCAACAAGUCCAAAGUACACAUCAUGUACAUGAACUCUAAUUCAGUCACCCUUAUUUUAGGAGGGAGAUCCAUCGGAUGUAUGGAGUAGGUGGAAAGCAAUCGCAACCACAAUCGGCCAUAUGCUCCCCUGAAUAGCCUUAUUAGUGGACCUUAGCCUAGGUCAGCCUUUAGAUCAUGCUUAUCUGCAUCAUAUUGAGAUCUAGCGGGGUCCACUUGGUCCUUUGUAGGAGACUCACCCUUGAAGCAUCCCUACGUACUAAUUGUUGUAUCUUUGAGGAUAAUAGGGUCAUUUGACGGACUAAUUUAGGGAAAAGCAUGUGCUAUAAUUAAAGGGAAGUGUGUAGGUAACGAAAGAUUGAAAAAGAAGAAGAGAAAAGUGAGGAAAAAAAGGGAGUUUCAUUUUUUUUUUUUAGAGUUCUUUAUGACUUUUGUUUUUCCAAUUAAAAAAAAUCAUCAUAAUUUUUUUUUGUUUCUUUAGUAUGAAUUCAUAAUACGAAAAUUUCAAAAAAAAAAAAUUAGAAGCUUUUUAUAAAAUAAAAUUCAAAAAAUGAUAGAAGUUUUGUACAUUUUGUAUAAUGAAAAUAUCAAAAAAAAUUGUUCUUUCAUAGUUUUUGGUGUCAUUUUUAUGUGACGUGUCAAAUUAAAAAAAAAAAAUGAAAAAAUUGUUGAUAUUUUCAUCGUCUGUAGUUGGCCGUGUCUCUCAAUUCAAGAUUUAGUUUGUUAUUUAAUCCUUAAUUGUUCAAUCUGGACGAACUGUACUCACCUGAUUCUCCUUUCACAGGAGUGAGUACGUAGGCAGCCCUUCUAGGGUUGGGUGAUCUUAUUUAAAAAAUUUAAAAAGAUUUUCUCCACUCUUUAUUAGAGUAGGUAUCAUAUAUAUCUCGAAAAGAAAACCACAAAAAGAUUUUCCUUUAAUAGUUUCAAGUUUCAUUUUCAUAUGAAAUUUAAAAUUGAAAAUCCAAAAAGACUUUUCUUUGGUAAUCAGAGGUUUCAUCUUGUAUAGGAAUCUGAAAAAUUUUAAAAUCACACUUCAUUUAGAGUAGGUGUCACAUACAUCUCUAAAAGAAAACCACAAAAAAAUUUUCUUAAUAGUUUCAAAUUUUAUUUUCGUAUGAAAUUUAAAAUUGAAAACCCGUAAAGGGCUUUCUUUGGUAAUCAUAGAUUUCAUUUUGGAUAGGAAUCUGAAAAAUUCAAAAAGAUUUUCUUCACUCUUAAUUUAGAGUAGGUGUCAUAUACAUCUCUAAAAAAAAUCACAAAAAGAUUUUCAUCAAUUCUUUUGACAAUUUGUUAUUUUCUUUUCUUCUAAAAGUUUCAAGGAAAAGAAAAAGAAAGAGAGUUGAUCAGUCAUUUUUUCACCAAACUUCACGAACAACGCUCCCCUAAAUCUCCUCCUUUGGGAGUGAGAUACGUAGGCUCCUUUCUUGGGUUUGGUGAUCUUUUCAAAAGAAAAAAAGAUUUUGAGAAAGUGUUGAAUUCUAACGCAUUUGUUAUCUCUUGUUCAGUUAGUUUAAGGUGGUCGGUUUGUGGCUGGUCCUCCACAUCACACCAAGCCUAAGGAAGAUUUAGUCAUGUCCAACAAGGAUAUAGAGAGUGACAUCAUGGAUCAGACAAAGAGUCAGAAAAAUAAGAAUUUAAAGCAAGAGAUUGUGAGACUAAAACAACAAAUGAUAGAAAUACACCGAGCUUGGGCUAGUGGGUUGCAUCUUUCCGCAUUCCC
RNAcentral lists this long non-coding RNA (3591 nucleotides) under Capsicum annuum. RNAcentral's name for it is "long non-coding RNA (CANN_LNC011197)". Lineage: Eukaryota; Viridiplantae; Streptophyta; Magnoliopsida; Solanales; Solanaceae. The record is from RNAcentral.